UACGUAGGGGGCAAGCGUUGUCCGGAAUCAUUGGGCGUAAAGAGCGUGUAGGCGGCCCGGUAAGUCCGCCGUGAAAGUCCAGGGCUCAACCCUGGAAUGCCGGUGGAAACUGCCGGGCUGGAGUCCGGAAGAGGCGAGUGGAAUUCCCGGUGUAGCGGUGAAAUGCGCAGAUAUCGGGAGGAACACCAAUUGCGAAGGCAGCUCGCUGGGACGUCACUGACGCUGAGACGCGAAAGCGUGGGGAGCAAACAGG
RNAcentral lists this ribosomal RNA (253 nucleotides) under uncultured bacterium. Its description in RNAcentral is "partial 16S ribosomal RNA". It matches the Rfam family "Bacterial small subunit ribosomal RNA", at positions 524 to 776 of the family's 1533-position model. The record is from RNAcentral.